This 465-nucleotide ribosomal RNA is filed under the name Vreelandella stevensii. Its description in RNAcentral is "partial 16S ribosomal RNA". It matches the Rfam family "Bacterial small subunit ribosomal RNA", at positions 338 to 795 of the family's 1533-position model. Lineage: Bacteria; Pseudomonadati; Pseudomonadota; Gammaproteobacteria; Oceanospirillales; Halomonadaceae. The record is from RNAcentral.
CCUACGGGAGGCUGCAGUGGGGAAUAUUGGACAAUGGGCGAAAGCCUGAUCCAGCCAUGCCGCGUGUGUGAAGAAGGCCUUCGGGUUGUAAAGCACUUUCGGUGGGGAAGAAAGCCUUGGGGCUAAUACCCUCGAGGAAGGACAUCACCCACAGAAGAAGCACCGGCUAACUCCGUGCCAGCAGCCGCGGUAAUACGGAGGGUGCGAGCGUUAAUCGGAAUUACUGGGCGUAAAGCGCGCGUAGGCGGUCUUGUAAGCCGGUUGUGAAAGCCCCGGGCUCAACCUGGGAACGGCAUCCGGAACUGGCAGGCUAGAGUGCAGGAGAGGAAGGUAGAAUUCCCGGUGUAGCGGUGAAAUGCGUAGAGAUCGGGAGGAAUACCAGUGGCGAAGGCGGCCUUCUGGACUGACACUGACGCUGAGGUGCGAAAGCGUGGGUAGCAAACAGGAUUAGAUACCCUGGUAGUC